CAACAUGUUUAGCCUAUUUUUUUUUCGAAGCCUUUUCUCAAAGUGUCUCUUUUCUAACAGGCUAGAAAUUAGAAAUUAAUAUAAAUUAAGAUUAUUAGAGCUUCCAAACUUCUUCCUUCAUCGAAGGUAGGCCUAAUGGUGUUCUCAUUCAAAAGUUUGAUAAGAAUACCGAGAAAAAUUCGACAUUCUAGGAUUACCUGGCAUAUUGUUUUCGUGCUGCACUUCGCGCAUCCGGCAUCCGGGGCCUGGUCAACUUCUUUACGCCAUCUUGCUGAACGGCGAUCAGCGAUCGCACUGAGUGAAAAGGGCUCCCGCGUUCUGACGAGCGCACAGGGGUACAAAAGUACCCUACUGUCAUUUUAACGUUUUCUUCUUAAUUUGCAAAAAUUUAAUUGAAUAUUCUGUGUAGAAUUAUCUUUAUUUUUUUUGUUAGUGGUCAAUAUGGCGAUUUGAAAAUGAUGUCUCAACGUCUUGGAAACACCAACUCUGCUUUGCAGACUGGCUUGGUCCUGGGCCUAGAACUUUAUUUUGCAGCUAACGUUAAUGCUAGAGGAAAGCAGUUAUACGAUGGAGAAAAAAACUCCUACUCGUCCGUUACCUGUGCAGUCUAAGACUAGCGCUACCCCUGAAAGAAAAUCUGACUACUCAAACAAGAACAAUGGAAGAAGAAGAUGGAAGGACAAUGUCAGCCCUGGAGGUCGCUCUUUGGAACCUGCACAAUUGCCCGUCAAACCCCCUCCUCAGAGAUGGAAUCGAGGAAAUGGUGACAAGAGGCCGCGACAGAGAGGCUAUUAUGGCGAUAGACAAAGAGAAGAGGUAGCAGAGGUUGAUGAUGCCCCAGAGGUAUACAGCACAAGUUCCCGCAAGGGAAAUGCCAACAACCUGUUGAGGUUUCACUAUGGCUCCCAUGAUGAAGGAAGUCGUUCUGCCGGCCGAUGGUCUGGGUAUCGGGGUGGUGGUGGUCAUGGCAGACAGAGAAAGACGGUGCGCUACAACAAGGAACAAUUCCUACAAGCAAGCUGCCAGUUUGUAGUGCAGGAUAAUGGAGAGUACUCCCAGCAAGCCGUUGACCCGGAUGCCCUGGUGAAGUGGGAUCUGGUGGAGCUGGUGCGCGUGUUCUCCACCGAGUCUGUUCUUUGUCCCAUCUGCAGGAGCGUGCCGUAUGCAGGACAAAUAACCAAGUGUGGACAUAUUUACUGCCUAGCUUGCAUGAUACGCUAUCUGGCGCUUGGGGAUAAAGACUACAGGAGGUGUCCUAUAUGCUAUGAUGCCGUGAAGACAGAAGAUCUAAGAAGUGUGCGAUGGGUCAAAGUGCCCGACUAUAAAGUUGGAGACACCAUUGAACUGAAGCUGAUGCGCAAGAGUAAAGGCAGUGUGUACGUCUGCCCGAAGAAGCAGUGGACAGACAGACAGGGCGUUCCACACAACCUGCUUGAUGGCGAGAACACCAAAUUUGCCAAGCUAUUAGUGGCAGGAAAAGAAGAGAUCCAGAGAGAAGUGAUUGAGGUAGAGAAAGCCGACCUGGCUGCUCAGAUGAAGGAUGCUCAUGUAACAGAGGAGCCUUUCAUAGCCAUGGCACAGGAAACAUUGAAGAACCGUGAAGAGAACCUUCAGGCUACCAGAAGUUUGGCAGAGGUCAAACCCAGUGCGGAAGCGGAGCAAGAAGAUGAGGCUGCAAAAGAAUCUGAGCUUGUGACUUUGUCUGAUGUAUUGUUGGAAGAAGCUGAGGAGAUUACGAAAUAUUCCGACGCCUUUGAGGAUAUGCUGGAGGACUCGAGCUUCCUCAACGUCUCUGCCUUAAGCCACCCAGAGGACACAGAGAUGGAAGGCAGCAUGGCAUCACUGGACAGGUCGGACGGUGCCAUCUUCUCCCUGGAAGGUUUGAAAGAGGGCAUAGAAACUGAGGACACCAAGUUUACCCCUGUGGCAGAGUCGUUGGCGUCGCUACCGGCCGCCGCAGCAGACGGAGAAACUAGUCAGAAAGGAGAUGACACUGGUGGAGCCCUUCCGGACUCUGCACCCACACUUGGGGCGGAAGUUUUGCCACCGCCGCUACCAAAAAUAGAUGCGACCAGCGCUCGCGAGAGGGGAGACAGCGAGGGUUCGCUCCCGUGUGGCUCGCCGGUGAACCCGUUCCCUCUCCUGGAGGACCACCUUGUGUCCCAGGUGGCUGUGUCGACAGACGAAGUCUUCGACAACCUGGAGCUUCCCCACGCCGAGGCGCCACCGCAGGCCAAGAGAGUGCAGCCCACCCGAACUAAGGACACCUACUAUUUCUACCAGGCCUCCAGUGGCCAGCACAUCUACAUGCACUCGCUGAAUGCUCGGUGCCUGCAGCAGGAGUACGGCAGUCUGGAGCACGGCCCAGAGACCAUAUCUGCCAGCAUUGUGGCCAUCAAGCGCAUGUUCAUGACUGAGGAUGUGCGGAAGCGGCUGCGUUAUUUGAACCACAUCCCACUGACCUGUGAGUUCCACGUGGUGGAGUUGAAUUUGAAACAACCACUGGUUAGCAAGGAGACUCUGAAGAUGUUUAGAGGGGAGAUUGAAGCUCUUCGCAAGGAUAGGCAAAAGAAAGCCAGAGAGGAGAAGAGAAGAGCCAAGGAGUUGGAGCUAGAGCACAAGAAAGCGCAUGGCAUUUACCCGGACGUGAAUCUGCGGCUGGACAGUCAGCGCCAGUUCCCGUCCCACCUAAGCACCUCGACAGCAAAACCGGGUUCUCAGGGUGAGGAAGACACAACAGAGUCGACCUCUGACACCUUUGAACGCUCGUCAAGCUCUCAGUGGACCGCGGAGGAGGCAUCAUCGUCUUCUACCUAUGAUGGCCAAGAAGCUGCUGCUGCUGGUUUGGGUCCACAGUCUGGAUCACCGAUGAGCCCUAGGAAUUCUGCAUGGGACUCCAAGUCCUUUGCUAAGAUUGCCGGGGCAGGGGCGUGGCCGACUGUACAGCGCUGGCGCUCUGUCUCCGAGUCACAGCCUACGCCCGUCAUCGCCAAGUCUCCCAAUGCGGACGACAGUGAUGGUGAAGGUCACCCCGCACCAAGCUACAAUGCUUCCAUGGCCGCUGCUUUUGACAGCCUGGACACAAAGCUUCAGGCAGCAGCCACAGAGCCAGAAGUGAUGGCGUCGCCCGGCCCAGCCGGAAGCGGGAAGAAGAAAAAGAAAAAAGAAAAGCAAGUCCUGUUCUCGACCUCUAUGGCUCGGAAGAAUUAGCCUACUUGGGUUUUUUCCCUCUUUUGGCUGAAUUUUUAAUCCCUAUUGUGAAUUUGCAAGACUUUUUACAUUUGCAUUUUUAUUUUAUUAAUCUUGGAACCUUCCAUUCAUCUUUUAAAUGUAAAAAAAAGUUUGCAUUGACAAAUUUCAGUGGUUGUAAUUGUAUAGAAUACCAGUUACUCCUUCUGUUUGGUAAUUAUUUCUUCUGUUUGAGUUGUCAGGAUUGGUUGGCUACUGGCAUGCCUGGGCUUGGGCUUUUCUGUGUCAGGGGCCGACCUCCCCAGUUCGCUCGGAGUUUAGUGUCCAUCAGUUCCAUCAACGUUUGCGACCUCAGAUCUUUGAUUCCUGUGAUGCGAUAGGGAAAUUGGCCUGCUCACUAUGCUUGUAAAGGAUUUGAAUUCAAUUUCUCUGUUCUGUUCCUGGGAUAAUUUUGUCAAGUAUGUCCUUGUUUUUAGGGGGUUUUUUUCCCUGAGAUGCAGCAUCUUUUCCCAGCAACCCCAGCCAGCCGUGACAGGCAAGGGAAAGCAGCCUGCCUCCUAAAUGGUCUGAAUUGUUUGUUGGGGGUGUGUGUGUGGGGUGGUGUUGAAUGAUUGCUGGAACAAAUUUCAGCAGCCCCGGUGACCUAUGGUCGUGGAAGGGGUUGAUUUUUGUUUCAGAGGAACAACACUUCAGGAAAGUGCUGCAGUUGUGUGGUCAGUAUGUUUAGUUCUUCCCACGGAGAACUGUGCGUUCUCCCUCUCCUCUCUAUGCAAGUCUGUUAUCCGUACGCUGCUGUCUAGUCGUGAGUCUUGCUGUGUGGAUGUGUUUGUUUGCUCAUUCAGCUUUUUCACCAUGACUUUAUUUAACUGAAAAACUUGUAUGUCUUUUUUUUAGGGGGGAGGGAUGCAUUUUCUUGUGACCCCAUGUCAAAGGGCCGAAACCUUAGGACAUGAUAUAGCUUUAAGCCACCAUUACUUUGAAACUAAAUGGAGUUGGACUCUAGAUGGCUCCUCCAUUCUCUUUUCCCCCUCGUUUUACUGCAUCGAAUAGUUCUUUUUUUAUAGACAUCAUACAGGUUAAAGACUUUCUAAUUUAGCCUAGGAAACCUUGUUGGUAGCAAGACCAAGGAGAUGCGCUUUCCUCGUGUUUUGUGUUGUGGGCACCGAGCACUCCGCCCUGUCCCAGUGUGUUGGCCCACCAGCCAAUGGGAACAGCACACUUGGAGCUCAAGUAGUGGGACAGUCGUGUGUGGUGCCGAGGUCUAGGUAGCAGAAACCACGGAGGAAAGGCUCAUCUCUUGGUAGUGUACACUGAAAAAUACAUGUCUCGUGGCAGUGGAUUCUGUGAAACGUUUGAUGUAGAUAUGUACAUGAUAGCUUCAGAAAGCUAAAAGGAUCAAUUUUUGGUUUUCUUCGGUACUGGCGUAACUUCUUUCCUAAUAUUAUGUCUGUAACCUUUUGUUGACAGAGCUUUUUGUGUUGAGGGAGAUUAUUGGAAGAAAAAUUCUGUUCUAAAAGGUUUGAUGUUUGUGUGUGGUUGUGGUAGAAGAUGGAGAGGAAGACCACCUUUGUUGUAAAGACUUGUUAUUUAGUUUCAUCCUUUGUUCUGCUGAAAUGAUGUACAAUUUUACUGUAGACAGAACUCCCAAAAGCCACUUCUUAUUUUCUGUGGUGAACUGUUGAAUGUAAACCUCCCCUGCUUGAAACUCUAUUUUGAGUAUCCAGAGCCAUGUGUUAAAUGAUAACACUCGCUUCGGUGUCACAUAAAGAAGACACUGAUUUCAUUUCUCGUGUGAGAUGAAUUUUCAUCUAGUAUCCCAGUCUUUCUGCUGGGAUGUUGUAUCCCUCUCAGCUUUGGUGAGCCCUGGUUUACAGGGUCAAAGCCUGUCUCUUCCUAAAUGAUCUAAAAUGUUUUUGGAGGUGUAUAAACACCUUCAUUAACAAACAAACAAAAAAACCAACAUUAAAUUAAAAAACAACCAAAAACAAAAUCGUCUCCCAACCUCAGAUUUCCUCAGUGUAAGUGCCGUACUACAUAAAAUAUUGUGAUAAUACUGGAAUUGUUAUCACAUGUGAGAAACUGGUUGAUGCGAUUGCCCUAUCUGUCUUUCACUGCAUGUGUUGAGCUUGGUGUGUGCGUGUGUGUGGUGCGGGUGGAAAGUGCAACGGAUUGGGGUGAGCAUGUUGUUUUCUGAUCAGCGUUUUUUUAGUGUGAGUGGGGUUUUUUGGUUUUGUUUGUUAGUUUGUUGCCUGUUGCAGUUCCGAUGGAGGUGAUUUGUUGAGAAGGGCUUGGAGAGAGAGAAAUCCAAGAAGGUUGUUUUUUGUCAGAUGCCUAGCUUCAGUUGUUUGUAGAUCACCCUUCUGUUAGGUCAGGUUGUUAAUGUGUGUUCUGGUGUGAUAUGUGAUUCUACUGGGGUUUUUUCUACAACAUACUGGACUCAGUCAUCUCUUGUACAGUUGUUUUAAACUCGUGCAGUCCCCAAAAUGUUAAUGAGAAGAAGCUGAAGUAGACCAAACUUUGGAACCCAUUCUUCAGUUGAGCAAGACCCACAGAGCUUAAUUAAUAUAUAUGAAAAGUAGCCCAGCCCCACGUCAGUAGAAGCUGUUUGGGCCAACGAAGGAACUAAGCAGGACGGCCCAGUAUAAGGUGAUAGACACCAGUCUGUAAGUGUGAUGUGUUGCUGAAGUCAUGGUGUUACUUAGCAAAGAUUUUGGGUUUUUUGUGUGCCUAGAAAAUACUCUUUUGCUUGGUGAGUGGUAUGUGUGGGGCGAGAUGCAUGGUCUUCUAGUUGUAAAUGUGUGUUAAUAGUCGGUAUUUAAGCCACAAUAGUCUUUUUACAUUCACGUCAUUGUUGUGUCAAAGAUAAAUGUUUGUUUUGAGGUAUUACCUCCUGCUAAAGAGUUGAUUAUUAUAAUGGACAGAAUUAUUUCACCCAUGCCAUGUAUACCAUACUUUAUUAUCCACUUAUACCGAUUGGCAUUGUAGAGGGGAGGGGAUCAGCACUAGGGACAAAUUCUGUCCUUGAUAGACAGUUGUUGUAUUGUUGAAACCAGUUCUUGUAAAGUAAAAGAUACAGAAGUUGUAUCGUAGUGAUAAGUUUUUAGAAUUCAAAGAAAUUGUCUUCGAUUUUUUAAAAGUUUUAAGAUCUCCCCACCUACCUCCCUUUUUUUUGUAUGUUUGUGUUUGCACUAGUUUUUUCCUUUGCAAGAUUCUGUAAGUAAUGUGUCAAUAGUGUCGCUGUGUAUUAUGUUUGUGUGUGAGUGAGAUGCAAGAUUCUGUAAGUAAUGCGUCAUAGUAUCGCUGUGUGUUGUGUUUGUGUGUCUGAGUUUGAGAUGAUGGCAUUUAUGCGAUGUCAGAGAUUUCAAUUGUUGAAAGUUUUGUACAGCGGGCGUAUUUGAUUCACAGGGAGGUUGAGACUUUGGUGGCAGUGAUUGCCUUCACAGCCAUCUCAGGUCUUUGCCUUGGUACUGGUAAUUUCUCGUCUGUAGCCGACCUGG
This 6686-nucleotide unclassified non-coding RNA is filed under the name Aplysia californica (California sea hare). RNAcentral describes it as "rING finger protein 10, transcript variant X2". The record is from RNAcentral. Lineage: Eukaryota; Metazoa; Mollusca; Gastropoda; Aplysiida; Aplysiidae.